RNAcentral lists this ribosomal RNA (253 nucleotides) under uncultured bacterium. RNAcentral describes it as "partial 16S ribosomal RNA". It matches the Rfam family "Bacterial small subunit ribosomal RNA", at positions 524 to 776 of the family's 1533-position model. The record is from RNAcentral.
UACGUAGGGUGCAAGCGUUAAUCGGAAUUACUGGGCGUAAAGCGUGCGCAGGCGGUUAUGUAAGACAGGUGUGAAAUCCCCGGGCUUAACCUGGGAACUGCAUUUGUGACUGCAUAGCUAGAGUACGGUAGAGGGGGAUGGAAUUCCGCGUGUAGCAGUGAAAUGCGUAGAUAUGCGGAGGAACACCGAUGGCGAUGGCAAUCCCCUGGACCUGUACUGACGCUCAUGCACGAAAGCGUGGGGAGCAAACAGG